AGUGAACGCUGGCGGUAGGCCUAACACAUGCAAGUCGAACGGCAGCACAGUAAUAUCGUGCUCUUACGGGUGGCCAAUGGCGUACGGGUGAGGAAUACAUCGUAAUCUACUUUUUCGGGGGGGAUAACGUAGGGAAACUUACUCUAAUACCGCAUACGACCUACGAGUGAAAGCAGUGGAUCGUCGCACCUUGCGCGAUUGGAUGCGCCGAUGUCGGAUUAGCUAGUUGGCGGGGUAAAGGCCCACCAAGUCGACGAUCCGUAGCUGGUCUGAGAGGAUGAUCAGCGACCCUGGAAGUGAGACACGGUCAAGACUCCUACGGGAGGCCGCAGUGGGGAAUAUUGGACAAUGGGCGCAAGCCUGAUCCAGCCAUACCGCGUGGGUGAAGAAGGCGUUCGGGUUGUAAAGCCCUUUUGUUGGGAAAGAAAAGCAGCAGGUUAAUACCCCGCUGUUCUGACGGUAACCAAAGAAUAAGCACCGGCUAACUUCGUG
Molecule: ribosomal RNA, 492 nt
Filed under: uncultured bacterium
Lineage: Bacteria
Description: partial 16S ribosomal RNA
Rfam family: Bacterial small subunit ribosomal RNA
Source: RNAcentral